UUUUUUGUUCUUUUUUUAAAAAAUUAUAGUUGAUUUACAAUGUUUCUUCAAUUUCUGUUGUAUAGCAAACUUACUAUUAGCUGAGGGUACAAAUUUAGUUCACAUUCACUUUCAGUUUCCCCUGGGCCAAUCAGCAUAAUCAGUCCUGAUGUAAUAAGCAAACUGGGAAGAAGCUGAUCCAUCCACCCAUUAGCAAAGACAGAAUGGCUGGCUCCUGGGACCAGGAUUCUCCAGCAGCUCUUCCAGAGGUUACUCCCAGAGGGCAGGCUUUACUCUCCUACCUUCUCUCUUACAAAAUGUAUUAAUUACUGUACUGUCUAAAAAAAAAACUACUCCCAAACGUAAAGAUCUAAAGCAACAAAGAAUUGUUAUCUUAGUUUCUGAUUGUCAGGAGCAGCUUAUCUGGGUGCCCCUGACUUUAGAUCUCUCACAAGGCUGUAGCCAAGGUGUCAGCUGGAGCUGUAGUCAUUUCAAUGCUCAUUUGCAGGAGAAUCGACUGCCAAGCUGACCUUCCUGGCUGCUGGCCAGAAACCUCACUUCCUGGCCAAGAGGGUCUCUCCAUAAGGCAACUCACAACAUGACAGCAGGCUUCCUUUAGCUCAAACCAGUGGGAGAGUGAGUCUUUUUGUGAUCUGAUGUCACUAGUGACAUCCCAUCAAUUCUGCUCUCACCUAUUUAUUAGAAGCAGUCACUAGGUCCAUCCCACACUCAAGCGGAAGGGAAUGCACAGAGCUGGAAUGCCAGGAAGUAGAGAUCCUUGGGAAUUUUAAUCCAGCUUUGUCAUUCGGGAUACACAGGGGCACAAGCAGUGAUACAUGGUCAUUUCCCUCUGGACUUAACUGGCUCAUCUCUUUGAAUAAGCUGAGAAAUGCACAUAAUUGUCCAUAUCAACCACCUUCCUACAAAGUCAAGCACUGAUGUUAUUACACACACACAGCAUGGACAUAAACCAUAUACAAAUCCUUGGGAAAGCUGAGUUGUACUGUAGUUUAUUGAGGAGAGUGAGGCUAAAACAUAAAUCUAGCAUAGGAAGCUCCCGUUGUGGCUCAGCGGUAACGAGCCCAGCCAGUGUCCAUGAGGACAUAGGUUCAAUUCCUGGCCAGGCUAAGUGGGUUAAAGGAUCUGACAUUGUUGUGAGCUGUGGUGUAGGUCACAAAUUUGGCUUGGAUCUGUGUUGCUGUGGAUGUGGUAUAGGCUGGCAGCACAGCUCCAAUUCAACCCCUAGCCUGGGAACUUCCAUGUGCCAUGGAUGCACCCCUAAGAAAGUAAAAAUAAAUAAAUAAAUAAAAUACAUCUAGUGUAUCUUCCCUCCAUUCUCCUGUGACCCCUCGGUUUGAGUUCUAGCUCUGUCUUUUACCAGCUGUGUGACUCUGGGCAAGAAACUUCCCUGAAGCUCCAUUUCUUUGUGCAUAUACUGAAGGUAAUAACAGAAUUCAUGCUACUGGGUUUUGAGUAUGAUUAAAUAAAAAUGAUUACAUAUAUGAAGACAGAUCUUGUGCAUUGUACCUGGCACAUUGUAGGUACUAAAGAAAUCUUGGGGCUUAUCACUAUCAUUAUUAUUCCAUUACUGUUCUUUAAUCCAAUGUAUUUUGUUUCAAAUUUCCUGCUCUUCCAGCUUGGCUUGUCUCCCCUUAGGAUGAAUAAAAACUGGUCAAUGCUAAAAACUCAUGGACAGUUUUUAAUGGCACCAAUAUGUGUAAGUUAUAAUCACAGUCUUUGGAAAUCUGAUGCUGGUAGUUGGCUUCAAAAUAAAGCAUCUCAAAGUUAGAGCAGGUUAUUGCAGAAGUUUGCAUGAAACAAAACAGUAUAGAAUGGGAGAAGUGGAGUUGAAUUUUCAUAUUUCACUUAUUUAAUCUUCGUCCACUCUUUGAAUGGUUGAUUUCUGAGUGAAUCCCCACAGAGAAGGGGAAUUUUGUCUCACAUCUUUUGGCUGGGGUUGAAGGCUCCAAGUGUUUCAGAGGGAAGAUGGCCCAUAGACACUUUACUUACCAAAGUUAUAUUCUGGAGCCGAGCAGAGUAGAGUGUCCUUUACUGCUUGCCUGAGGCAGUGUUAGUUGCAUUCCAAAAGUUUAGAAAUACAUGGGUGGACAGAUGAUCUAUGAAACAAUUGUUGACUUUUCCAUGUGUUUUUGGAAGGGGCUGAGGAGGACAAAGACACUUUUUUCUCUUUCUCUCUCAACUUUUAUUUUUUUUCUCUGAGAAGCCGCAGAAUUUUGACCCACUUCACAUCUGCCUCCUGCCUCUGGUUUUGAAAUCUGCAGGCUGAUGGCUUGUUUGCUUGUUAGCAUGAAAGGCUUGCUCUGGAUCUGAGCUUGCUUGUUAGUAAAGAACCAACAAGCAUUGGAGUCCAAAGGUAAUCACAGGCUGAAAUCACUUCCAGAUGCCAAACCCCACUCCUGAUGGUGAAAGCAGACCUUACAAUUGCAGCGGACCAGGUACUCAAUGGCUCUCACCCAAUCCUAUUAGGGUUUUGAACAUGCACAUGUGCGCUCCUCCUCCUUUUCUUUCUCUCUCCUUGCUCCCUUUUUUCCUUCUCCUUCAUUCCUUGCUUUCCUCAAUGUGGCUCAAUUUUAAUGUGAAGAUCAAAAUCAAAGCUGAUACAACCCAGUCUCAAUUCCGCCACAAGUAUUGGAGCUGCUGUUAUCCCGGGAUCUGUCAGAGGAUGCUAGCUCCCUGUUAGAGCCGCAGCCACUGGAGGGAGAAGUAUCCCCUUUCUUUUGGCUCCAUCCUUGAGGGCUUCUAGAAAGCCUGUACUGGGCAAUACUGUUCCUUGGGCAGUUGGUCAAG
Molecule: long non-coding RNA, 2787 nt
Filed under: Sus scrofa (pig)
Lineage: Eukaryota; Metazoa; Chordata; Mammalia; Artiodactyla; Suidae
Description: lncRNA (ENSSSCG00015028180.1)
Source: RNAcentral